Molecule: long non-coding RNA, 255 nt
Organism: Drosophila bipectinata
Lineage: Eukaryota; Metazoa; Arthropoda; Insecta; Diptera; Drosophilidae
Source: RefSeq, a predicted model, not a curated record
AAUAUUCAAAAUAAUCCCAACGAUAUAGACAGUACAAAAUUUGUUCAGUUUUUCUAGAAAUAUUUAUAAAUAUGGCGGGAAGCUCCAAAGUAGUCAUAGUUCGCAGCACAUUUGUUAAUUCGCUAAUGGCCAAGAAUGGAAGUCAGGGAGUCAGCAUAGUCCGAAUGGUGAAGCUGAUCAAGCCCGGGAAAAAGAUUCCAUCAAUUAAAUUGUUAUGAAUAAAUAAAAUUGAUUGUUUAUGUCUUUCAAACUCCA